CAAAUAUGGAAGAAAUAAAGGCUAUUGUAGAUUUGAUUGAAGAGGCGGUGGACGCUGAGAUGGAACUUCAUUAAGUACAUAGAAGGGAAACAUGGCCAACCCAAUGGAAGGAAAUCCUGCAACUCUGUUGGACUUUUGUAGCUAAGCAAAUGGACCUACAUUUGAAUUUGAGGAUUUCGCUUAUUAAAGGAGCAAAAGAUAAUAAUUCAAGUGAUAGGGUAAGUUUCCCUACUGUUUACAAAUG
Molecule: long non-coding RNA, 244 nt
Organism: Helianthus annuus (common sunflower)
Lineage: Eukaryota; Viridiplantae; Streptophyta; Magnoliopsida; Asterales; Asteraceae
Exons: 3
Source: RefSeq, a predicted model, not a curated record